AGAGUUUGAUCAUGGCUCAGGAUGAACGCUAGCUACAGGCUUAACACAUGCAAGUCGAGGGGCAGCAUGGUCUUAGCUUGCUAAGGCCGAUGGCGACCGGCGCACGGGUGAGUAACACGUAUCCAACCUGCCGUCUACUCUUGGACAGCCUUCUGAAAGGAAGAUUAAUACAAGAUGGCAUCAUGAGUCCGCAUGUUCACAUGAUUAAAGGUAUUCCGGUAGACGAUGGGGAUGCGUUCCAUUAGAUAGUAGGUGGGGUAACGGCCACCUAGUCUUCGAUGGAUAGGGGUUCUGAGAGGAAGGUCCCCCACAUUGGAACUGAGACACGGUCCAAACUUCUACGGGAGGCA
Molecule: ribosomal RNA, 350 nt
Filed under: uncultured bacterium
Lineage: Bacteria
Description: bacterial SSU rRNA
Rfam family: Bacterial small subunit ribosomal RNA
Source: RNAcentral